ACUGCUAAGACUGGAUAGGAGACAAGAAGGCAUCUUCUUGUUUUUAAAAGACCUAGCAAUAGGUAUGCUUAGGGAGGAGCUUGCGUCACAUUAGUUAGUUGGUGGGGUAAAGGCCUACCAAGACUAUGAUGUGUAGCCGGGCUGAGAGGUUGAACGGCCACAUUGGGACUGAGACACGGCCCAAACUCCUACGGGAGGCAGCAGUAGGGAAUUUUCGGCAAUGGAGGAAACUCUGACCGAGCAACGCCGCGUGAACGAUGAAGUAUUUCGGUACGUAAAGUUCUUUUAUUAGGGAAGAAUAAAUGAUGGAAAAAUCAUUCUGACGGUACCUAAUGAAUAAGCCCCGGCUAACUAUGUGCCAGCAGCCGCGGUAAUACAUAGGGGGCAAGCGUUAUCCGGAAUUAUUGGGCGUAAAGGGUGCGUAGGCGGUUAAAUAAGUUUAUGGUCUAAGUGCAAUGCUCAACAUUGUGAUGCUAUAAAAACUGUUUAGCUAGAGUAAGAUAGAGGCAAGUGGAAUUCCAUGUGUAGUGGUAAAAUGCGUAAAUAUAUGGAGGAACACCAGUAGCGAAGGCGGCUUGCUGGGUCUUUACUGACGCUGAGGCACGAAAGCGUGGGGAGCAAACAUGAUUAGAUACCCUGGUAGUCCACGCCGCAAACGAUGAGUACUAAACGUUGGGUAACACCAGUGCUGAAGUUAACACAUUAAGUACUCCGCCUGAGUAGUACGUACGCAAGUAUGAAACUUAAAGGAAUUGACGGGACUCCGCACAAGCGGUGGAUCAUGUUGUUUAGUUCGAAAGUACCCGAAAAACCAACCCCAGGUCUUGACAUGCUUCUGCUAAGCUGUAAAAACACAGUGGAAAGUUAUCAGUUGCACAAGUGGUGCAUGGUUGUCGUCAGCUCGUGUCAGGAAAUGUUGGGUUUAGUCCCGCAACGAGCGCAACCCUUAUUGUUAGUUACCAGCACGUAAUGGUGGGGACUUUAGCAAGACUGCCAGUGAUAAAUUGGAGGAAGGUGGGGACGACGUCAAAUCAUCAUGCCCCUUAUGACCUGGGCUACAAACGUGAUACAAUGGCUGUUACAAAGGGUAGCUGAAGCGCAAGUUUUUGGCGAAUCUCAAAAAAACAGUCUCAGUUCGGAUUGAAGUCUGCAACUCGACUUCAUGAAGUUGGAAUCGCUAGUAAUCGCGAAUCAGCAUGUCGCGGUGAAUACGUUCUCGGGGUUUGUACACACCGCCCG
RNAcentral lists this ribosomal RNA (1239 nucleotides) under 'Prunus dulcis' phytoplasma PAT1-2. RNAcentral's name for it is "bacterial SSU rRNA". It matches the Rfam family "Bacterial small subunit ribosomal RNA", at positions 159 to 1396 of the family's 1533-position model. The record is from RNAcentral. Lineage: Bacteria; Bacillati; Mycoplasmatota; Mollicutes; Acholeplasmatales; Acholeplasmataceae.